CAGCCGCCGCGGGAAAACGAAGGGUGCAAGCGUUACUCGGAAUUACUGGGCGUAAAGCGUGCGUAGGUGGUGGUUUAAGUCCGUUGUGAAAGCCCUGGGCUCAACCUGGGAAUUGCAGUGGAUACUGGGUCACUAGAGUGUGGUAGAGGAUAGUGGAAUUUCCGGUGUAGCAGUGAAAUGCGUAGAGAUCGGAAGGAACAUCUGUGGCGAAGGCGACUAUCUGGGCCAACACUGACACUGAGGCACGAAAGCGUGGGGAGCAAACAGGAUUAGAUACCCGCGUAGUCCCUGUCUCUUAUAC
This 301-nucleotide ribosomal RNA is filed under the name uncultured bacterium. RNAcentral describes it as "partial 16S ribosomal RNA". It matches the Rfam family "Bacterial small subunit ribosomal RNA", at positions 509 to 807 of the family's 1533-position model. The record is from RNAcentral.